RNAcentral lists this ribosomal RNA (345 nucleotides) under uncultured bacterium. RNAcentral's name for it is "bacterial SSU rRNA". It matches the Rfam family "Bacterial small subunit ribosomal RNA", at positions 160 to 507 of the family's 1533-position model. The record is from RNAcentral.
ACGCUAAUACCGCAUACGCACUGAGGUGGAAAGCAGGGGAUCGCAAGACCUUGCGCUAUACGAGCGGCCUAUCAGCUAGUUGGUGAGGUAAUGGCUCACCAAGGCGACGACGGGUAGCCGGCCUGAGAGGGUGACCGGCCACACUGGAACUGAGACACGGUCCAGACUCCUACGGGAGGCAGCAGUGGGGAAUAUUGCACAAUGGGCGAAAGCCUGAUGCAGCAACGCCGCGUGAGUGAAGAAGGCCUUCGGGUUGUAAAGCUCUUUCGGCUGGGAAGAAAUCGCACAGGCUAAUACUCUGUGUGGAUGACGGUACCAGCACAAGAAGCACCGGCUAACUACGUG